Molecule: transfer RNA, 72 nt
Filed under: Theobroma cacao (cacao)
Lineage: Eukaryota; Viridiplantae; Streptophyta; Magnoliopsida; Malvales; Malvaceae
Rfam family: tRNA
About the family: Transfer RNA (tRNA) molecules are approximately 80 nucleotides in length.
Source: Rfam by way of RNAcentral
GCACCAGUAGUACAGCGGUAGAAUAGUACCCUACCACGGUACAGACUCGGGUUUGAUUCCCCUGCUACUGCU